This 612-nucleotide ribosomal RNA is filed under the name uncultured bacterium. RNAcentral's name for it is "bacterial SSU rRNA". It matches the Rfam family "Bacterial small subunit ribosomal RNA", at positions 338 to 951 of the family's 1533-position model. The record is from RNAcentral.
CCUACGGGAGGCAGCAGUAGGGAAUAUUGGGCAAUGGAGGAAACUCUGACCCAGCCAUGCCGCGUGCAGGAUGACGGCCCUCUGGGUUGUAAACUGCUUUUAUACGGGAAGAAAAAAUGCUACGUGUAGCACAUUGACGGUACCGUAAGAAUAAGGAUCGGCUAACUCCGUGCCAGCAGCCGCGGUAAUACGGAGGAUCCAAGCGUUGUCCGGAUUUAUUGGGUUUAAAGGGUGCGUAGGCGGAUCUUUAAGUCAGUGGUGAAAGCCUGCAGCUCAACUGUAGAACAGCCAUUGAAACUGAAGAUCUUGAAUAUGGUUAAAGUAGGCGGAAUGUAUCAUGUAGCGGUGAAAUGCUUAGAUAUGAUACAGAACACCGAUAGCGAAGGCAGCUUGCUGAACCAUUAUUGACGCUGAGGCACGAAAGCGUGGGGAGCAAACAGGAUUAGAUACCCUGGUAGUCCACGCCCUAAACGUUGAUUACUCGUUGUUGGCGAUAUACUGUCAGCGACUAAGCUAAAGCGUUAAGUAAUCCACCUGGGAAGUACGACCGCAAGGUUGAAACUCAAAGGAAUUGACGGCUGAGACGAGACGAGACGACGACGAGGGAGGAGG